AGUGAACGCUGGCGGUAGGCCUAACACAUGCAAGUCGAACGGCAGCACAGUAAGAGCUUGCUCUUACGGGUGGCGAGUGGCGGACGGGUGAGGAAUACAUCGGAAUCUACUUUUUCGUGGGGGAUAACGUAGGGAAACUUACGCUAAUACCGCAUACGACCUACGGGUGAAAGCAGGGGAUCUUCGGACCUUGCGCGAUUGAAUGAGCCGAUGUCGGAUUAGCUAGUUGGCGGGGUAAAGGCCCACCAAGGCGACGAUCCGUAGCUGGUCUGAGAGGAUGAUCAGCCGCACUGGAACUGAGACACGAUCCAGACUCCUACGGGAGGCAGCAGUGGGGAAUAUUGGACAAUGGGCGCAAGCCUGAUCCAGCCAUACCGCGUGGGUGAAGAAGGCCUUCGGGUUGUAAAGCCCUUUUGUUGGGAAAGAAAAGCAGCAGGUUAAUACCCCGCUGUUCUGACGGUACCCAAAGAAUAAGCACCGGCUAACUUCGUG
This 492-nucleotide ribosomal RNA is filed under the name uncultured bacterium. RNAcentral's name for it is "partial 16S ribosomal RNA". It matches the Rfam family "Bacterial small subunit ribosomal RNA", at positions 29 to 507 of the family's 1533-position model. The record is from RNAcentral.